GGGGGCGCUACGGGCGCGGCGCUGACCCGGAGGCGGCGGCGGCGGUGCCCGGAUGGAGGCACGUCAUUGUCCCCCGCCGGGCGGCUGGGCUGUGUGCGGCGGCGGCGGCGGCCGAGGGGGAUGGAGCGAGCGCCGAGCCGGGUUAGAGUUGAACAAUGACCAUAGUUGACAAAGUUGAAUCUUCAGACCCAUCAGCCUGUCAGAAUCAGCCAGGCAGUUCCGAGGCAGUCUCGACUGGAGACAUGGAUGCAGGCUCUGCCGGCUGGAGUGCUGUGUCUUCAUUAAGUGAUGUUUCCAAUCAUACACUUUCUUUAGGACCAGUACCUGGUGCUGUUUAUUCAAAUUCAGCUAUACCUGAUAAGUCAGAGCCAUCACCACCGAAGGAUCAAGCCCUAGGUGAUGGCAUUGCUCCGCCACAGAAAAUUCUUUUUCCCUCGGAGAAGAUUUGUCUUAAGUGGCAGCAAACUCACAGAGUUGGCGCUGGGCUUCAGAAUUUGGGCAACACCUGUUUUGCCAAUGCAGCUUUGCAGUGUUUGACAUACACACCACCUCUCGCCAAUUACAUGUUAUCACAUGAGCACUCCAAGACAUGUCAUGCAGAAGGAUUUUGUAUGAUGUGUACAAUGCAAGCGCAUAUUACCCAGGCACUCAGUAAUCCUGGGGAUGUUAUUAAACCCAUGUUUGUUAUCAAUGAAAUGCAACGUAUAGCUAGGCACUUCCGUUUUGGAAACCAAGAAGAUGCUCAUGAGUUUCUCCAGUACACUGUUGAUGCUAUGCAGAAAGCAUGUUUAAAUGGCAGCAAUAAAUUAGAUAGACACACUCAAGCCACUACACUUGUUUGUCAGAUAUUUGGAGGAUAUCUAAGAUCUAGAGUCAAAUGUUUAAAUUGCAAGGGAGUUUCAGAUACUUUUGAUCCAUAUCUUGACAUUACAUUGGAGAUAAAGGCUGCUCCGAGUGUUAACAAGGCAUUGGAGCAAUUUGUGAAGCCAGAACAACUGGAUGGAGAAAACUCCUACAAGUGUAGCAAGUGCAAAAAGAUGGUUCCAGCUUCAAAGAGAUUUACCAUACAUAGAUCAUCUAAUGUUCUUACACUUUCUCUGAAACGCUUUGCAAAUUCUACUGGAGGAAAAAUUGCUAAGGAUGUGAAAUACCCUGAGUAUCUUGAUAUUCGGCCAUAUAUGUCUCAACCAAAUGGAGAACCCAUCAUUUAUGUUUUGUAUGCAGUGCUGGUCCACACAGGAUUUAACUGCCAUGCAGGCCAUUACUUCUGUUACAUAAAAGCUAGCAAUGGCCUGUGGUAUCAAAUGAAUGACUCCAUUGUGUCUACUAGUGAUAUUAGAUCGGUACUCAGCCAACAAGCAUAUGUGCUCUUUUAUAUCAGGUCCCAUGAUGUGAAAAAUGGAGGUGAACUUACUCAUUCCACCCAUAGUCCUGGCCAGUCCUCUCCCCGCCCAGUCAUUAGUCAGCGGGUUGUCAGCAACAAGCAGGCUGCAUCAGGGUUUAUUGGACCACAGCUUCCCUCCCACAUGAUGAAGAAUUCACCUCACUUGAAUGGAACUGGGCCACCGAAAGACACGCCGAGCAGUUCCAUGUCGAGUCCUAAUGGAAGUCCCAGUGUCAACAGGCCUAAUCCUGUUAAUGCUUCUGCUUCUGUUCAAAACUGGUCAGUUAACAGGCCCUCUGUGAUUCCAGAACACCCUAAGAAACAAAAAAUCACUAUCAGUAUUCAUAACAAGUUGCCUGUUCGCCAAGCUCAAUCUCAACCUAACCAUCAUAGCAACUCCUUAGAGGGCCCUAACAAGCCUGUUCCUCCUUCUACUGUCACCAACUGUUCUGCGAUACAGUCUACCUCGAAUACAUCCGCAAUGUCAGUUUCUAGUAAACUAGCAAAACCGCUCUCCCCGAGCAAGUCCUGUUCCAAGCCAGUGAUGAAUGGCAAGUCCAAGGUGAGCUCCAGUGUGUUGGUCCCUUACGGCGCCGAGUCAUCUGAAGAAUCUGAUGAGGAGUCCAAGGGCCUAGCCAAGGAGAAUGGCAUGGGCAGAAUAGCCACUACUCAUGCUACUGGCCACGAAGCUGAAGAGGAUGAGGCCCCAUCACAUGAGCUUCAAGAACCUAUCACUCUAAAUGGUGCUAAUAGUACAGACAGUGACCCCAAAGAAAAUGGCCUGUCAUUCGAAGGUUCUAGUUGCCAAGUUCAGCCUGCUUUACACUCAGAAAAUCCCUUUUCUAAAGCAAACGGUCUUCCUGCAAAGUUAAUACCUGCAUCUUUGCCAUCUCUUCCGGAAGACAAAAUCUUAGAGACCUUCAAACUUAGCAACAAAGUAAAAGGAUCAACAGAUGAAACAAGUCCACCUGGAACAGAGCAAAGUCAGUCACGGGACCUUGCUGUGGAGCUUGAGGCUGGCAGUGUCACUGCUGGUUCCCAUGAGAAACUGGACCCGAUCUCAAGUCUAUGCAGCAAGUUCAAGAAAGCUUUGCUUUCUCCCGACAGCAGUCUUAAAUCUACCAAAGAAGUUGUCUCAGAAAAUAGUUCAGCCAAACCUGAUGAGUCUUUGCCCAUUGUAAACAACCUUUGUAAUAAUGACAAAACCAGUACAGGGUCUGAUCCACUUCCUGAACCCUGUGACACUGAAAACUUAACACACAACUGCAGUGAAACUCCCCAGGAGGUCAAAGCAUUGUUAACUGAGAGUCUGCAGGAUUCUGGUCCAGCAGAAACAGUGAAGCAGCUGAGCCCAGCUCCCCCCACACAUUUAGAAGGUGCACAUGAGUCCGAGCUUUUAGUUUACCUUAGCAGAGACCAUUGUGGUGAUACAGAAACCCCAUCCCGAAGCACAGGUGAAUCUGCCGACACGCUGCCCUCUGCUCAGCCACCCAGGACCCCAGUCGCCCAUCCCGAUGGCCCUGAGCACAGUCAUGGGGAGAGGUGUGGUGAAGGUAAGGCCAGCCAGAAAGUUCCAGAUCACCCUCCGGUUAAAGAGAAAAUCAGCAGCCUUAGGAAAGUUGACCGAGGACAUUACCGAAACCGGCGAGACCGCUCCUCCAGUGGGGAACAUGUGCAGAAAAGUCGGAGUCGGAGUCGGAGUAGGACUGAGGGUCAUUGUCACAGAAAGCGGCACUCGUAUGCCAGAAAGCACAGCAAGCAGGAAUGCCAUGCUGUGGAACACUGUAACGGGAGCCGGCACCCUCUGUGUUAUGGUGAGAGAGUCAGUCCCGGUGAGCGUCGCAGUCUGAGCAGGUACAGCUACCACCACUCCCGAACCAGGAGCGGGACUGACCAAGACUGGAGCCGAUACUACCCCUUGGACAAUGAGCACUCCUGGCUCCCAGAGAAGUACUAUGCUGAGAAGAUGCGGUGGGACCGGUGCAGGUACUACCCCGAUAGGUACGCCCCGUACACAGGCAGGGAGCCCAGUGUGAAGCGGCCACACAAGGACUCCUCCCGGGCCAGGAAGGGCUGGGAGCCUCCUGCCCGGGUGAGGGAGCGGACCCACUUCCACAGCCCACGCACAGGUGCCGCACCCCCUUUCCCUCUGCACCCUGAGCGCUACCCCCAAGAAAAGGCUGCCUUUGGAGCUGAUGACAGUGGCUGUGGCCUCUCUGAUCGAUUUCAUGAACAUGAAAGCAUGAAGUCACGCAAACAUAGGUACGAGAGUGCAGAAAGUAGCGACAGUCACGUGGAAAAGAAAACCCACAGGAGCCUGCCCAAAGACUUGGAGGAGCCUAAGGCAAAGAAGCGCAAAAAAUCAAAGAAGAAAAAGAAAUCUAAAGACAAACACCAGGAACGUGACUACAGGCAUCAGCUGGAUCCAGAUCUUCCAGUAGUGUACUCUGAUGCUGAUCUCCACAGACACAAAAAGAAGAAAAAGAAAAAGAAGAGGCACUCAGGGAAAUCAGAAGACUUUGCAAAAGAACCAGGACUGCACUCACCGAAGGCCUCAAGCUAUGAGACUGUUGACCAUUUCCGGAGACCUGAGGGCAGUUUCCUGCUCACUGAUGGCCUGGCUGUGGAGGGCAUUGGAUCUUUCCGAAAGAAAACAAAGCAUUUAAGGAUGGAGAGCAGGGCCGACAGGUGCCACCUGUUGGAGUAUGGCCAGGGUAAGAGGCGAUUCGUGGAAUUAAGAAGAGACAAACUCUUUUGAUAAGUUUUUUUGGAAAUGGCAAUUAACAUAUGGAGAUGGAACCUCAAGUGGCUUGAAAGGGUGCGCGAGUAAUACAAGGUUCCUGCCUCUUCCACCUCGACUCACAAGCCCUGUGUGAUUCAUUGUCCCUGUGUAGUAUGGAUGCUUGACACUGAUCCCUAGCACUGAAGGAUGGUUACAUGGAACUGGAAUUUAUGACCCUUGGAAUUUGAGGCACUCUGAGUGUCUUGAGUAUUUGCUCGCAAGGGAGAACUUCUUUUGUUUUCGAAGCAUUUUUGGUAGUGAUGCUUUGGCACUAUUUACUUUACUCUCCUGAUUCCUUAAAGCAUCCAGAGUGUACCUUAACUCAUAGUUUGAUGACCUGGGCCAUUAGAAAUUUUAGCUGCCAUCUCUACCAGUGAUGCCUUUGAGGCUCCUGACUCUAGGCCCCAGGGCAUCCCAGAUUCUUUCGUGUAAACUGUGUCUUCCCGUGAUUUGGCAUCUCUUUGUGCUCUGAUUGCAGGGGGGCAGCCCCUCCCCCUUUGUGACUGGUUCCCUGAGGAGGAGCCCUGAGAAGCUUGUUAAGAGUGAAAGUGAUGGUAGUUGGGGCCGGGCACAGGUUGGCAAGCUGCGUCUCGAAGGCCAAAGCCAGCCCUGUGCCUGUCUCACAUCACGUGUGAGUUAAGAGUGGCUUUCAUGUUUUCAAAACUUCCAAAGAGGAGUAGUGCUUUGUUUCACCUGAACAAAGUGUGAAAUCCAAAUGUCAGUGUCUGUAGAUACAGCCAGUAUCUGCAGGAGGUUGGUGCUCCUGACACAGGUAAUUGAAAACAUGGCCUCAAAACAAAAAUUCACUAGUUAUGAUUCAACAUGUUCCACAGAAGCCAUCCCAACUCAGCUUAAAUUAUAAACAUAAAUUUGUUCAAAUCUGCGUGGUGCUUCUUUAGUAAAUACUGUACAGAUUUUACCAUGAAUUUUUUUUUUUUAGUUUUUACCUUUUCUUAAUUGCCCUUAUUCCAAAAGGAUGAACACUUUCUACGACUGCUGACCAUUGUAAAAUACAGUGUAUAUAAAUCACAUUGAAAUAAUGCCCUGGAAUAGAACAUCUCAAAUGCUGCUUAAUUACAGACUCAGGUUGAUUACUUGUAUUUCAUGUAAUGUUCCUCCAAGUUAGACAUCUGAUGGUGCAAGACCAACCGGGAAACCAUGGAAUUAUUAAAAGUACAAACUGACAGUGCGUGUAUUUAAUUUAAAGACUUAUUUAAAAAUUUACAAGCUCUCAACGAGACUUUUGAGAGCAGUCUUUUCUGUAAUGUCUGAUACUAGAAACUAAUUUGCUUCCUAUUUUAGUUGUAUUCAAGAUUUGAAAAUGUAUUUUAUAGACAAGUUCUGUUUUUGAACUUCGUGGAACUAUUCCAAUCAACUUACCAGUUAUGAUGAGUAUUCACAUUAUGAAUGUAUAAUCCAAACAUUGUUUGUAAAGCUUACAGUACGUUUUUAUUACAUAACACUUUUUUAUACUGUGUCUCGUCACCUGUAUGAUACUGGAGUCUGAGUUGUCAGCUUGGUCCCUUAAAGUUUCUAGUUACAGACAAAAUCAUACUGUGAUUUUAUUUUUAAUAUGGAUAUGCUAUCAAACUGUGAUACACUUAUAAUUCACUGGUCCUGCAUCAGGAGACGGAGUGGGGAAAACUGUAUUUAAUACAGUUUCUAUCUGAAUAAUCUGUAUGGUUUAUACAGCUUGUGUUGUUCAGAGAUGUCUAAAGUUUGAUCUUUGUUUUUUUAAAGAUUAAAAAAGCACUUGCCCCACUGUAAAUAUACAGCAUGUAAAAUUUAUAUAGUAUAUAAAUGGCAGCAAAUUAAACAA
This is an RNA transcript of Cavia porcellus (domestic guinea pig), 5985 nucleotides long. It is a transcript of the gene named ubiquitin specific peptidase 42, with no coding region annotated. The record is from RefSeq and is a predicted model, not a curated record. Lineage: Eukaryota; Metazoa; Chordata; Mammalia; Rodentia; Caviidae. The transcript is spliced from 18 exons.